RNAcentral lists this ribosomal RNA (474 nucleotides) under uncultured bacterium. RNAcentral describes it as "bacterial SSU rRNA". It matches the Rfam family "Bacterial small subunit ribosomal RNA", at positions 28 to 489 of the family's 1533-position model. The record is from RNAcentral.
GAUGAACGCUGGCGGCGUGCCUAAUACAUGCAAGUCGAACGCGCAGCGAGAGGUGCUUGCACCUUUCAAGCGAGUGGCGAACGGGUGAGUAACACGUGGAUAACCUGCCUCAAGGCUGGGGAUAACAUUUGGAGACAGAUGCUAAUACCGAAUAAAACUUAGUAUCGCAUGAUAUCAAGUUAAAAGGCGCUACGGCGUCACCUAGAGAUGGAUCCGCGGUGCAUUAGUUAGUUGGUGGGUAAAGGCUUACUAAGACGAUGAUGCAUAGCCGAGUUGAGAGACUGAUCGGCCACAUUGGGACUGAGACACGGCCCAAACUCCUACGGAGCUGCAGUAGGGAAUCUUCCACAAUGGCGCAAGCCUGAUGGAGCAACGCCGCGUGUGUGAUGAAGGCUUUCGGGUCGUAAAGCACUGUUGUAUGGGAAGAAAUGCUAAAAUAGGGAAUGAUUUAGUUUGACGGUACCAUACCAGAAA